Molecule: ribosomal RNA, 201 nt
Filed under: Halomonas sp. Sa6-1I
Lineage: Bacteria; Pseudomonadati; Pseudomonadota; Gammaproteobacteria; Oceanospirillales; Halomonadaceae
Description: partial 16S ribosomal RNA
Rfam family: Bacterial small subunit ribosomal RNA
Source: RNAcentral
GAAUCGCUAGUAAUCGUGGAUCAGAAUGUCACGGUGAAUACGUUCCCGGGCCUUGUACACACCGCCCGUCACACCAUGGGAGUGGACUGCACCAGAAGUGGUUAGCCUAACUUCGGAGGGCGAUCACCACGGUGUGGUUCAUGACUGGGGUGAAGUCGUAACAAGGUAGCCGUAGGGGAACCUGCGGCUGGAUCACCUCCU